Molecule: ribosomal RNA, 253 nt
Filed under: uncultured bacterium
Lineage: Bacteria
Description: partial 16S ribosomal RNA
Rfam family: Bacterial small subunit ribosomal RNA
Source: RNAcentral
UACGUAGGGAGCAAGCGUUGUCCGGAAUCAUUGGGCGUAAAGCGCGUGUAGGCGGUUCGGUAAGUCCGCUGUGAAAGUCGGGGGCUCAACCCUCGGAUGCCGGUGGAUACUGUCGAGCUUGAGUACGGAAGAGGCGAGUGGAAUUCCUGGUGUAGCGGUGAAAUGCGCAGAUAUCAGGAGGAACACCAAUUGCGAAGGCAGCUCGCUGGGACGUUACUGACGCUGAGACGCGAAAGCGUGGGGAGCAAACAGG